UACAGAGGGUGCAAGCGUUGUUCGGAAUUAUUGGGCGUAAAGGGCGCGUAGGCGGUGCGGUAAGUCUUUUGUGAAAUCUCCGGGCUCAACUCGGAGUCUGCAGGAGAAACUGCCGUGCUUGAGUAUGGGAGAGGUGAGUGGAAUUCCUGGUGUAGCGGUGAAAUGCGUAGAUAUUGGGAAGAACACCAGCGGCGAGAGCGCGCUACUGGGCCAUAACUGACACUCAUGGACGAAAGCUAGGGGAGCGAAAGGG
This 253-nucleotide ribosomal RNA is filed under the name uncultured prokaryote. Its description in RNAcentral is "partial 16S ribosomal RNA". It matches the Rfam family "Bacterial small subunit ribosomal RNA", at positions 524 to 776 of the family's 1533-position model. The record is from RNAcentral.